RNAcentral lists this long non-coding RNA (548 nucleotides) under Pongo abelii (Sumatran orangutan). Its description in RNAcentral is "lincRNA". The record is from RNAcentral. Lineage: Eukaryota; Metazoa; Chordata; Mammalia; Primates; Hominidae.
AAAGCCACCUCUGUCUGGACGGUUCUCACAGGGAGGGAGCUGGUCCUACCACAGCAGCUCCCGAGCACAGAAUAGCAGCUGAAGGCCUCUCCGCUGAAUGCUGAAACCUCACCUUCACUGGCUGCUUUAUAAUCAGCAUUUAUAGGUCACCAUGGCAAUGAUGGCUUCUGUAAUUUUUCAGGAACUUGGGCCAGCUCCUGUCCAGUUCAAACUGGUUGGUACCACUGAUCCUUCAACUGAGCCUGCAUACAUGCCCAGUAGGUGCCUUUUGACAUCAGAGGGCCCAAAACGCCACCCUCGGAUGAUGCAAAUGCCACCAUUUUCUGUACACAUGUCCUAUGAAAUGCCAUGAAUUCCUGCUAUGCUUGUGCAGAACGAACCUGUUACUUGGUUGUUCCCCACUGCCAAUCACCUUCCCCACACCUUAGACCAUCUACUUCCCUAAUCUAUAAAUAUUCCUAAGCCUUAUCUUCAGGGAGGCAGAUUUGGGAGCUGUCCUUCCUCCUCACUCUGUGCCCUGGCAAAUAAAUAUUUUCUGUUUUGCAAAA